GAAUCGGUGGUUCAGUGGCAGAAUGCUCGCCUGCCACGGCAGCGGCUCGGGUUCGAUUCCCGGCGGAUGCA
Molecule: non-coding RNA, 71 nt
Organism: Nippostrongylus brasiliensis
Lineage: Eukaryota; Metazoa; Nematoda; Chromadorea; Rhabditida; Heligmosomidae
Source: Rfam